AUUGAACGCUGGCGGCAUGCCUUACACAUGCAAGUCGAACGGCAGCACGGGGGCAACCCUGGUGGCGAGUGGCGAACGGGUGAGUAAUGCAUCGGAACGUGCCCCGUAGCGGGGGAUAACCAGUCGAAAGACUGGCUAAUACCGCAUACGCUCCACGGAGGAAAGCAGGGGAUCGCAAGACCUUGCACUAUGGGAGCGGCCGAUGCCCGAUUAGCUAGUUGGUGAGGUAAAGGCUCACCAAGGCGACGAUCGGUAGCUGGUUUGAGAGAACGACCAGCCACAC
This 283-nucleotide ribosomal RNA is filed under the name uncultured bacterium. RNAcentral describes it as "partial 16S ribosomal RNA". It matches the Rfam family "Bacterial small subunit ribosomal RNA", at positions 30 to 313 of the family's 1533-position model. The record is from RNAcentral.